This 720-nucleotide ribosomal RNA is filed under the name uncultured archaeon. RNAcentral's name for it is "bacterial SSU rRNA". It matches the Rfam family "Archaeal small subunit ribosomal RNA", at positions 338 to 1110 of the family's 1478-position model. The record is from RNAcentral.
CGCCCAAUUCUCUCACAUGCAGAGAACUGUGUUAAGGACCCGAUCGUACCGGCGUCCGGUACCAUCGAGUAGGCCGCCAGACGUGCAGCCGCCCGUAUACGCGCUCGAGUGGUGACCACUUUAUUGGCUAAGCGUCGUAGCUUGAUUUUAAGUCUCUUGGAAUCUCACGGGCUUAACCUGUGAGGGCGUCUAAGAGAUACUGGGAAUCUAGGGACCGGGAGAGGUAAGAGGUACCUCCAGGGGUAGAAGUGAAAUUCUGUAAUCCUUGAGGGACCACCGAUGGCGAAGGCAUCUUACCAGAACGGCUUCGACAGUGAGGAACGAAAGCUGGGGGAGCGAACGGGAUUAGAUACCCCGGUAGUCCGGAGCCGUAAACUAUGCGCGUUAGGAGAGCCUGUAACUACGAGUUACCGGGGUGCCGAAAUAUGGAGUAGAAAAACGUGCCGCCUGGGAAGUACGGUCGCAAGGCUGAAACUUAAAGGAAUUGGCGGGGGAGCACAAAAAAAAGUGGGGCCUGCGGUUUAAUUGGACUCAACGCCGGGCAGCUCACCGGAUAGGACAGCGGAAUGAUAGCCGGGCUGAAGACCUUGCUUGACCAGCUGAGAGGAGGUGCAUGCCAUCGUCAGUUCGUACUGGAAGCCUCCGAUAGUCAGCGGCAGCGAGACCCUAAUCAGAGCGGCGACGAUCCUACUAGAACCCAGCACAGCGGCGAUAGUCCCU